RNAcentral lists this ribosomal RNA (957 nucleotides) under Klebsiella pneumoniae. Its description in RNAcentral is "bacterial SSU rRNA". It matches the Rfam family "Bacterial small subunit ribosomal RNA", at positions 575 to 1532 of the family's 1533-position model. The record is from RNAcentral. Lineage: Bacteria; Pseudomonadati; Pseudomonadota; Gammaproteobacteria; Enterobacterales; Enterobacteriaceae.
GCGGUCUGUCAAGUCGGAUGUGAAAUCCCCGGGCUCAACCUGGGAACUGCAUUCGAAACUGGCAGGCUAGAGUCUUGUAGAGGGGGGUAGAAUUCCAGGUGUAGCGGUGAAAUGCGUAGAGAUCUGGAGGAAUACCGGUGGCGAAGGCGGCCCCCUGGACAAAGACUGACGCUCAGGUGCGAAAGCGUGGGGAGCAAACAGGAUUAGAUACCCUGGUAGUCCACGCCGUAAACGAUGUCGAUUUGGAGGUUGUGCCCUUGAGGCGUGGCUUCCGGAGCUAACGCGUUAAAUCGACCGCCUGGGGAGUACGGCCGCAAGGUUAAAACUCAAAUGAAUUGACGGGGGCCCGCACAAGCGGUGGAGCAUGUGGUUUAAUUCGAUGCAACGCGAAGAACCUUACCUGGUCUUGACAUCCACAGAACUUUCCAGAGAUGGAUUGGUGCCUUCGGGAACUGUGAGACAGGUGCUGCAUGGCUGUCGUCAGCUCGUGUUGUGAAAUGUUGGGUUAAGUCCCGCAACGAGCGCAACCCUUAUCCUUUGUUGCCAGCGGUUCGGCCGGGAACUCAAAGGAGACUGCCAGUGAUAAACUGGAGGAAGGUGGGGAUGACGUCAAGUCAUCAUGGCCCUUACGACCAGGGCUACACACGUGCUACAAUGGCAUAUACAAAGAGAAGCGACCUCGCGAGAGCAAGCGGACCUCAUAAAGUAUGUCGUAGUCCGGAUUGGAGUCUGCAACUCGACUCCAUGAAGUCGGAAUCGCUAGUAAUCGUAGAUCAGAAUGCUACGGUGAAUACGUUCCCGGGCCUUGUACACACCGCCCGUCACACCAUGGGAGUGGGUUGCAAAAGAAGUAGGUAGCUUAACCUUCGGGAGGGCGCUUACCACUUUGUGAUUCAUGACUGGGGUGAAGUCGUAACAAGGUAACCGUAGGGGAACCUGCGGUUGGAUCACCUCCUU